CUAGCCUUGGCGGUAGGUAUUCUAAAAUUGGAAUAAUGCAGAGAAGAUUAGUAUGGCUCCUGUAUAAGGAAGCGUCCCAUAUUUUAAAGAAGACGGUGUGCUGGU
Molecule: non-coding RNA, 105 nt
Organism: Octopus bimaculoides (California two-spot octopus)
Lineage: Eukaryota; Metazoa; Mollusca; Cephalopoda; Octopoda; Octopodidae
Source: Rfam